This 451-nucleotide ribosomal RNA is filed under the name uncultured bacterium. RNAcentral's name for it is "partial 16S ribosomal RNA". It matches the Rfam family "Bacterial small subunit ribosomal RNA", at positions 28 to 523 of the family's 1533-position model. The record is from RNAcentral.
GAUUAGCGCUGGCGGUAUGCCUAACACAUGCAAGUCGAGCGAACCUUCGGGUUAGCGGCGAACGGGUGAGUAAUACAUUGGUACUUGCCUCAGAGUAGGACAUAGCCUGCCGAAAGGUGGGGUAAUUUCCUAUAGUCUUAGCAAUAAGUAAAGCAGCAAUGCGCUCUGAGAGAGACCUUUGUCCUAUCAGCUUGUUGGCGGGGUAAAAGCCCACCAAGGCUACGACGGGUAGCUGGAUCGAGAGGUUGACCAGCCACACUGGGACUGAGACACGGCCCAGACUCCUACGGGAGGCAGCAGUGGGGAAUAUUGGACAAUGGGCGCAAGCCUGAUCCAGCAAUGCCGCGUGAGUGAUGAAGGCCUUCGGGUCGUAAAGCUCUUUUACCCGGGAUGAUAAUGACAGUACCGGGAGAAUAAGCUCCGGCUAACUCCGUGCCAGCAGCCGCGGUAA